RNAcentral lists this ribosomal RNA (429 nucleotides) under Gemmatimonadota bacterium. RNAcentral describes it as "Gemmatimonadetes bacterium partial 16S ribosomal RNA". It matches the Rfam family "Bacterial small subunit ribosomal RNA", at positions 355 to 776 of the family's 1533-position model. The record is from RNAcentral. Lineage: Bacteria; Pseudomonadati; Gemmatimonadota.
UAGGGAAUCUUCGGCAAUGGACGAAAGUCUGACCGAGCAACGCCGCGUGAGUGAAGAAGGUUUUCGGAUCGUAAAACUCUGUUGUUAGAGAAGAACAAGGACGUUAGUAACUGAACGUCCCCUGACGGUAUCUAACCAGAAAGCCACGGCUAACUACGUGCCAGCAGCCGCGGUAAUACGUAGGUGGCAAGCGUUGUCCGGAUUUAUUGGGCGUAAAGCGAGCGCAGGCGGUUUCUUAAGUCUGAUGUGAAAGCCCCCGGCUCAACCGGGGAGGGUCAUUGGAAACUGGGAGACUUGAGUGCAGAAGAGGAGAGUGGAAUUCCAUGUGUAGCGGUGAAAUGCGUAGAUAUAUGGAGGAACACCAGUGGCUAAGGCGGCUCUCUGGUCUGUAACUGACGCUGAGGCUCGAAAGCGUGGGGAGCAAACAGG